Molecule: ribosomal RNA, 414 nt
Filed under: Kryptoperidinium foliaceum
Lineage: Eukaryota; Dinophyceae; Peridiniales; Kryptoperidiniaceae
Description: partial Bacterial small subunit ribosomal RNA
Rfam family: Bacterial small subunit ribosomal RNA
Source: RNAcentral
GCUUGUUGGUGGGGUAAUGGCCUACCAAGGCGACGAUCUCUAGCUGGUCUGAGAGGAUGAUCAGCCACACCGGAACUGAGACACGGUCCGGACUCCUACGGGAGGCAGCAGUGGGGAAUAUUGGACAAUGGGCGCAAGCCUGAUCCAGCCAUGCCGCGUGUGUGAUGAAGGCCCUAGGGUUGUAAAGCUCUUUCACCGGUGAAGAUAAUGACGGUAACCGUAGAAGAAGCCCCGGCUAACUUCGUGCCAGCAGCCGCGGUAAUACGAAGGGGGCUAGCGUUGUUCGGAAUUACUGGGCGUAAAGCGCACGUAGGCGGAUCGUUAAGUGAGGGGUGAAAUCCCAGGGCUCAACCCUGGAACUGCCUUUCAUACUGGCGAUCUUGAGUUCGAGAGAGGUGAGUGGAAUUCCGAGUG